UACGUAGGGGGCAAGCGUUGUCCGGAUUUAUUGGGCGUAAAGAGCGUGUAGGCGGCCUGACAGGUCUGCUGUGAAAACUCGAGGCUCAACCUCGAGAUGUCGGCGGAAACCGUCUGGCUAGAGUCCGGAAGAGGCGAGUGGAAUUCCUGGUGUAGCGGUGAAAUGCGCAGAUAUCAGGAGGAACACCAAUGGCGAAGGCAGCUCGCUGGGACGGUACUGACGCUGAGACGCGAAAGCGUGGGGAGCAAACAGG
Molecule: ribosomal RNA, 253 nt
Filed under: uncultured bacterium
Lineage: Bacteria
Description: partial 16S ribosomal RNA
Rfam family: Bacterial small subunit ribosomal RNA
Source: RNAcentral